GACGAACGCUGGCGGCGUGCUUAACACAUGCAAGUCGAACGGAAAGGCCCCCACUUUUUUGGUGGGGGUGCUCGAGUGGCGAACGGGUGAGUAACACGUGGGUGAUCUGCCCUGUACUUCGGGAUAAGCUUGGGAAACUGGGUCUAAUACCGGAUAGGACCAUGGUUUAGUGUCUCAUGGUGGAAAAAUUAUUGUUUUGGUGCAGGAUGAGCUCGCGGCCUAUCAGCUUGUUGGUGGGGUAAUGGCCUACCAAGGCGUCGACGGGUAGCCGGCCUGAGAGGGUGGACGGCCACAUUGGGAGUGAGAUACGGCCCAGACUCCUACGGGAGGCAGCAGUGGGGAAUAUUGCACAAUGGGCGCAAGCCUGAUGCAGCGACGCCGCGUGGGGGAUGACGGCCUUCGGGUUGUAAACUCCUUUCGUUAGGGACGAAGCCGCACCUUUUUUGGGUGUGGUGACGGUACCUUUGUUAAGAAGCACCGGCUAACUACGUG
RNAcentral lists this ribosomal RNA (492 nucleotides) under uncultured bacterium. RNAcentral's name for it is "partial 16S ribosomal RNA". It matches the Rfam family "Bacterial small subunit ribosomal RNA", at positions 28 to 507 of the family's 1533-position model. The record is from RNAcentral.